Molecule: unclassified non-coding RNA, 417 nt
Filed under: soil metagenome
Description: partial contains 5.8S ribosomal RNA, internal transcribed spacer 2, and large subunit ribosomal RNA
Rfam family: 5.8S ribosomal RNA (bases 1-120)
Source: RNAcentral
GAUGAAGAACGCAGCGAAAUGCGAUACGUAAUGUGAAUUGCAGAAUUCAGUGAAUCAUCGAAUCUUUGAACGCACAUUGCACUCUCUGGUAUUCCGGAGAGUAUGCUUGUUUGAGUAUCAGUAAACACCUCAAAUCUCUUGUUUCUUGUGAAUAAGAGAAUUGGACUUGAGCAAUCCCAACUCUUGCAAAAGAGGCGGGUUGCUUGAAAUGCAGGUGCAGCUGGACAUUCUUCUGAGCUAAAAGCAUAUUUAUUUAGUCCCGUAAAACGGAUUAUUACUUUUGCUGCAGCUAACAUAAAGGUUGAAUGGCCAAUAUGGCUGACUGAUGCAGGAUUAACAGAGAAUUUAUUCUUUGUAAACUCGAUCUCAAAUCAAGUAAGACUACCCGCUGAACUUAAGCAUAUCAAAAGCGGAGGA